UACAGAGGGUGCAAGCGUUAAUCGGAAGUACUGGGCGUAAAGCGCACGCAGGCGGUUGGUUAAGUCAGAUGUGAAAGCCCCGGGCUCAACCUGGGAACUGCAUUUGAAACUGGAAAACUAGAGUGUGUGAGAGGGGGGUAGGAUUCCAAGUGUAGCGGUGAAAUGCGUAGAGAUUUGGAGGAAUACGAGUGGCGAAGGCGGCCCCCUGGCACAACACUGACGCUCAG
This 227-nucleotide ribosomal RNA is filed under the name uncultured bacterium. Its description in RNAcentral is "partial 16S ribosomal RNA". It matches the Rfam family "Bacterial small subunit ribosomal RNA", at positions 524 to 750 of the family's 1533-position model. The record is from RNAcentral.